GGGGAUGUAGCUCAAAUGGUAGAGCGCUUGUUUUGCAUGCGAGAGGCACGGGGUUCGAUCCCCCGCAUCUCCA
RNAcentral lists this transfer RNA (73 nucleotides) under Triticum aestivum (bread wheat). It matches the Rfam family "tRNA". From Rfam's summary of the family: Transfer RNA (tRNA) molecules are approximately 80 nucleotides in length. The record is from Rfam by way of RNAcentral. RNAcentral also lists the same sequence under 1 other name. Lineage: Eukaryota; Viridiplantae; Streptophyta; Magnoliopsida; Poales; Poaceae.